This 468-nucleotide ribosomal RNA is filed under the name uncultured bacterium. Its description in RNAcentral is "partial 16S ribosomal RNA". It matches the Rfam family "Bacterial small subunit ribosomal RNA", at positions 28 to 507 of the family's 1533-position model. The record is from RNAcentral.
GACGAACGCUGGCGGCGUGCUUAACACAUGCAAGUCGAACGGAAAGGCCCUGCUGUUGUGGGGUGCUCGAGUGGCGAACGGGUGAGUAACACGUGAUUUACCUGCCCUUGACUUUGGGAUGACUUCAGGUAACUGGGGUUAAUAACGUAUAGGAGCUUCUGCUGCUAUUCUUGAGUAGUAAGGUUUCGGCGGUUGGGGCUGGACUCGCGUCGUAUUAGCUUGCUGGUGGGGUAGUGACUUACCAAGGACUUGACGGGUAGCUGGCCUGAGAGGGUGACCGGCCACAUAGGAAGUGAGUUAGGGCCGACACACCUACGGGAGGCAGCAGUGAGGAAUAUAGCUUACUGGGCGGAAGCCUGACGCACCAACGCCCGGUGCGGGAUGAAGGACUCCGGGUGGUAAGCCGAUUUCGCUUGGGACGAAGCGUGCGUGACGGUAAUGGGUAAAGAAGCACCGGCUAACUACGUG